RNAcentral lists this long non-coding RNA (290 nucleotides) under dengue virus type 2. RNAcentral's name for it is "Dengue virus 2 partial sfRNA1". The stretch from base 156 to 227 matches the Rfam family "Flavivirus DB element". Lineage: Riboviria; Orthornavirae; Kitrinoviricota; Flasuviricetes; Amarillovirales; Flaviviridae. The record is from RNAcentral.
CAGAAGUCAGGUCGGAUUAAGCCAUAGUACGGAAAAAACUAUGCUACCUGUGAGCCCCGUCCAAGGACGUUAAAAGAAGUCAGGCCACUACAAGUGCCAUAGCUUGAGUAAACUAUGCAGCCUGUAGCUCCACCUGAGAAGGUGUAAAAAAUCUGGGAGGCCACAAACCAUGGAAGCUGUACGCAUGGCGUAGUGGACUAGCGGUUAGAGGAGACCCCUCCCUUACAAAUCGCAGCUACAAUGGGGGCCCAAGGUGAGAUGAAGCUGUAGUCUCACUGAAAGGACUAGAG